RNAcentral lists this ribosomal RNA (301 nucleotides) under uncultured bacterium. RNAcentral describes it as "partial 16S ribosomal RNA". It matches the Rfam family "Bacterial small subunit ribosomal RNA", at positions 509 to 807 of the family's 1533-position model. The record is from RNAcentral.
CAGCAGCCGCGGUAAUACGUAGGUGGCAAGCGUUGUCCGGAAUUAUUGGGCGUAAAGGGCUCGCAGGCGGUUUCUUAAGUCUGAUGUGAAAGCCCCCGGCUCAACCGGGGAGGGUCAUUGGAAACUGGGAAACUUGAGUGCAGAAGAGGAGAGUGGAAUUCCACGUGUAGCGGUGAAAUGCGUAGAGAUGUGGAGGAACACCAGUGGCGAGGGCGACUCUCUGGUCUGUAACUGACGCUGAGGAGCGAAAGCGUGGGGAGCGAACAGGAUUAGAUACCCCUGUAGUCCCUGUCUCUUAUAC